GACGAACGCUGGCGGCGUGCUUAACACAUGCAAGUCGAACGGAAAGGCCCUGCUUUUGUGGGGUGCUCGAGUGGCGAACGGGUGAGUAACACGUGAGUAACCUGCCCUUGACUUUGGGAUAACUUCAGGAAACUGGGGCUAAUACCGGAUAGGAGCUCCUGCUGCAUGGUGGGGGUUGGAAAGUUUCGGCGGUUGGGGAUGGACUCGCGGCUUAUCAGCUUGUUGGUGGGGUAGUGGCUUACCAAGGCUUUGACGGGUAGCCGGCCUGAGAGGGUGACCGGCCACAUUGGGACUGAGAUACGGACCAGACGCCUACGGGAGGCAGCAGUGGGGAAUAUUGCACAAUGGGCGGAAGCCUGAUGCAGCAACGCAGCGUGCGGGAUGACGGCCUUCGGGUUGUAAACCGCUUUCGCCUGUGACGAAGCGUGAGUGACGGUAAUGGGUAAAGAAGCACCGGCUAACUACGUG
This 468-nucleotide ribosomal RNA is filed under the name uncultured bacterium. Its description in RNAcentral is "partial 16S ribosomal RNA". It matches the Rfam family "Bacterial small subunit ribosomal RNA", at positions 28 to 507 of the family's 1533-position model. The record is from RNAcentral.